Molecule: ribosomal RNA, 483 nt
Filed under: uncultured bacterium
Lineage: Bacteria
Description: partial 16S ribosomal RNA
Rfam family: Bacterial small subunit ribosomal RNA
Source: RNAcentral
AUUGAACGCUGGCGGCAGGCCUAACACAUGCAAGUCGAGCGGAUGAAGGGAGCUUGCUCCUGGAUUCAGCGGCGGACGGGUGAGUAAUGCCUAGGAAUCUGCCUGGUAGUGGGGGAUAACGUCCGGAAACGGGCGCUAAUACCGCAUACGUCCUGAGGGAGAAAGUGGGGGAUCUUCGGACCUCACGCUAUCAGAUGAGCCUAGGUCGGAUUAGCUAGUUGGUGGGGUAAAGGCCUACCAAGGCGACGAUCCGUAACUGGUCUGAGAGGAUGAUCAGUCACAACGGAACUGGGAAACGGGCCCAAACCCUAAGGGAGGCAAGAGUGGGGAAUUUUGGGAAAAGGGCGAAAGCCUGAUCCAGCCAUGCCGCGUGUGUGAAGAAGGUCUUCGGAUUGUAAAGCACUUUAAGUUGGGAGGAAGGGCAGUAAGUUAAUACCUUGCUGUUUUGACGUUACCAACAGAAUAAGCACCGGCGAACUUCGU